RNAcentral lists this ribosomal RNA (376 nucleotides) under Odorrana graminea (large odorous frog). RNAcentral's name for it is "partial 12S ribosomal RNA". It matches the Rfam family "Bacterial small subunit ribosomal RNA", at positions 875 to 1399 of the family's 1533-position model. Lineage: Eukaryota; Metazoa; Chordata; Amphibia; Anura; Ranidae. The record is from RNAcentral.
AACUUACAUCUACAAACGCCGGGGAAUUACGAGCUACGCUUAAAACCCAAAGGAUUUGACGGUGUCCCACCCCCCUAGAGGAGCCUGUUCUAUAAUCGAUAAUACCCGCUAUACCCAACCACCUCUCGCUAUUCAGUCUGUAUACCUCCGUCGAAAGCUUACCAUGUGAACGCCUACAGUAAGUACAAUGGCUACCAACGUCAACACGUCAGGUCAAGGUGCAGCUUAAGUGGUGGAAAGUAAUUGGCUACAAUUUCUAACCUAGAACAAACGGAAGGCUAUGUGAAACCAUAGUUCUGAAGGCGGAUUUAGUAGUAAAAAGAAAAUAGAGCGUUCUUUUUAACCCGGCUCUGGGACGCGUACACACCGCCCGUCA